AGGACGAACGCUGGCGGCGUGCUUAACACAUGCAAGUCGAGCGGAAAGGCCCUUCGGGGUACUCGAGCGGCGAACGGGUGAGUAACACGUGAGUAACCUGCCCUUCACUUUGGGAUAACCCUCGGAAACGGGGGCUAAUACCGGAUAUGACAUAGGCUCGCAUGGGCUCUGUGUGGAAAGAUUUUUUGGUGGGGGAUGGGCUCGCGGCCUAUCAGCUUGUUGGUGGGGUGAUGGCCUACCAAGGCGACGACGGGUA
This 256-nucleotide ribosomal RNA is filed under the name uncultured bacterium. RNAcentral's name for it is "partial small subunit ribosomal RNA". It matches the Rfam family "Bacterial small subunit ribosomal RNA", at positions 26 to 285 of the family's 1533-position model. The record is from RNAcentral.